RNAcentral lists this ribosomal RNA (789 nucleotides) under uncultured fungus. RNAcentral describes it as "eukaryotic LSU rRNA". The stretch from base 1 to 241 matches the Rfam family "Eukaryotic small subunit ribosomal RNA", at positions 1593 to 1831 of the family's 1831-position model. The record is from RNAcentral. Lineage: Eukaryota; Fungi.
UUGCUCUUCAACGAGGAAUUCCUAGUAGGCGUGAGUCAUCAGCUCGCGUCGAUUACGUCCCUGCCCUUUGUACACACCGCCCGUCGCUACUACCGAUUGAAUGGCUUAGUGAGGUCUCCGGAUCGGCGUCAGGGAGCCGGAAACGGCACCCAGUCGCUGAGAAGCUGAUCAAACUUGGUCAUUUAGAGGAAGUAAAAGUCGUAACAAGGUUUCCGUAGGUGAACCUGCGGAAGGAUCAUUAACGAAUGACCCUCUGGGUUAUUUACCCUCGCUGUGCGGCUUCGGCCUGCACGCUUGGGAUCCACACACCUGUGCACCUUCGUUUGGGGGGCUUCGGCCUUCCUCUCGCUCACACACACUUUAAAGUCCUGAAUGUCAUAAAUCAUAACAAAUACAACUAUGAGCAACGGAUCUCUUGGCUCUCGCAUCGAUGAAGAACGCAGCGAAAUGCGAUAAGUAAUGUGAAUUGCAGAAUUCAGUGAAUCAUCGAAUCUUUGAACGCACCUUGCACUCCGUGGUUUACCACGGAGUACGCCCGUUCGAGUGUCACGUUAACCAUCGCCAAAGGAGAGGUAACACUUUCCUGCGGCGGAACUGGGCGCUGCCGUAGUUGGCUCGCCUGAAAUGCAUUAGCGAGGGUGGAUGCACCUUACGGCGUGAUAAUGUCAUCGUCCUGAAAGUGUUGAAGCUCUGCUUCGAAUCGUCCGGCGUAUCUGGACAGUAUUCACAGUUUGACCUCGAAUCGGGUGGGACUACCCGCUGAACUUAAGCAUAUCAAUAAGCGGAGGA